Molecule: long non-coding RNA, 2844 nt
Organism: Gopherus evgoodei (Goodes thornscrub tortoise)
Lineage: Eukaryota; Metazoa; Chordata; Testudines; Testudinidae
Exons: 3
Source: RefSeq, a predicted model, not a curated record
UCCUGAGCUGCUCCAUAUUAGAGUCUGCUGAUGUCAGAAGCCUGCUAACUUGCAAACUGGUCUGAGAUGACAGGAACAGCUGCAGUACCUACAGUUUCCAGGAUCCGCUCUCUGAUCACGCAGUAUUGCAGCUCCAGAAGAUUAGGGCUGAGCAUACCUUCCAGAUGCUCAAUAUCUAGCACACAGUGGGCUUGAUCAAACCACACUGAAGUCAAUGGGAAACUUUCAAUUGACUUCAAUGGAGACUGGAGCAAGCCCUUUAGGAGCAGUCCCCGUACUCAGGUGGGCCAAUCCUAACAGGAAGAGGCAAUACAGACUAAGGAAGCUUAAAUCCAGAUGCUUAUUAUCUAUUCACUGCACCCAAACAUCAUCUGUAUACAAGAACAAAACAAAUGCAAGAAGCCCCUGGGAACUGAAACCAAUGUUGAUGGACACUAGUUCUAAGAUCAACAGGCAUCAGACCAUCCCAGCCAUCAUUGCUGAUGAGGCUCCAGAUCAAGACUGGAUCACUGAGAAUUGCUUGGCUGACACUGCAAACCUUGUGUUGGCUCCCGUUGGCUCUCCCUGCCCCCCACCCCUUGCCCGAGCUUAUUCAACAUACCACAAGGCAGGCGUGGACCAGAGCAGAGUAGCAUUCAUAUUGUCAUUCCAAAUCACUGUGGAAGUGGCACCCCAGGAAAUACCAAAUCCUUCAAACUAUUCCAUUUUGCACAUGAAACCAGAGCCAGAGCUAAAGCCAACAUGGACUUUCUACUCAUCUAUAGAUGCAGAAGACCGCAGUUUCAUAAAGGAGCUGUCUGAGAUGCUAUCAGCAAUAGCGGUGAUACCCCUGAGACUCAUCUUCCCAGCCAUGUUGACAAGGCCUCAGAUGUAAAACACCUGAACACAUUUCCUCUUUCUCCAUGUUAGGACUCUCUCGUGUCAUCUCCAGUCCAACCUACAUAGCCAGCCACAUCUUCAGCCUGCUCUUCACACUAAAUGUCAUCACAGAGAACAUCACACAGUAUGGCCCUAUCUUAAACAACCUCCUCAUUCUGUCAGCAGUCUGAGCUCUCCCCCCAUUCAGACAACAGGAAGGCUCAUGGACCUCACUACAUGCUAAAACAUGCUUCAGGACAGAAGCAGCCUCCCAACAGGCUGAGGAGUUGCAUCACUAAUAAGUCAUUAUGUCCACAUGCACUAGUUACUACCACUGACACCUUGGAUCUCAGACAACCCCCUCCUCGCUGUUGCCCACACAUAUCCCAGUGGUCCUUCCUUGGGAUAGAUGAAGAGAGAAGGGAACUUGAGUGCCAAUGACAAAAAAAUUGGUUUGAAGCAUACAGAUUAAAACAGGAAGAAUUUCUACAGGCCUCUGGUGAAGCUGUAGGAUACUCCAAUCAUGGCAGAAUCCAGCACCACUUGAUACGAGGAGAUUUAAACCUUCUUCACUAGAAGAGGCCACCCACAUGCAGGAAAGGGGCUCCAGAUAAUCUCUUCAAGGCUGGGGGCAGGAAAGGGGCAUGGUACAUCCUUCUCCCACCUACCAUUUCCCUCCCUACCCAGGCCCAGCUACUCUUUGCCCCAGGCCACCUACAGCUGCUAUACAGAGCCCAGUCCUUCAGACCAUGGAGCCACAAGAAGGGAUGACAUUCCAAUGAAGAUGACUCCUCACUUCUGCAUGGGUCCUGUAGCAUGAUCUGGUUCUUGAUCCUAUGCUCCUUACUCAGGCAACUGAGUCUCAAUGGAAGUUUUGCCUAAUUAAGGAGUGAAGUAGGGCCAAACCUCUCAUAAUCUUUUUUUUUUUUAAAGACUCUGCUUUGUGUUUUCAAGAGUACCAGACCUUAACAUUUACAACAAGGGGGCAAGAGAAAUGAAAUGUGAAAAGAGAAAUCUCUACCAAACUUCUGCAGAUUGUGGAGGAAUAUCACUGCUGAGGGAGGGAAAAAAUCUAUCAAGAAGCCAUGUUCUCCAGAGAUUCCAGCCUUACCACUAGCCUUUUCCAUUCUUUUGUAUCUGACGUAUGAUGACUCAUCAGGGGACACAGUUUAAAUGUACAGAGACAGAAUUUGAACUACAAUGCUAUUUCCCCACCCUUCCAUGUGUUCAAAGACUGGUCUGUGCAGUUGUUCUUCCUCCCUACCUCCACCUUCCCAAAAUAAGGUGAGAAGGCAGGGACUGGAUGGCACGGGAGAGUGGCCACUGGCUAUACAGUCUUUCACUUAUAAGCUACUAACUCAACUUCACCUCAGCUAGGGUUAAGUGAAAUUCAUUACAAUCUGAUAGCUAUUUAUCAGUCUAUAAAAAACAAGUUGAUGUUCUCAAUAGAGUUUCUUAGGAUACCGGUGUGUGCACACGACAAAACAAACCACCUGAAAUAACAUUAAUAUACACCCUCUUUGGAAGUCUCAGAGGACUAAGAGGUGUCUAUCCUAAGAACAAAGGGUGUUUCUGCAACCUAAUAGCUAAUAUUAUAUGCUAUAGUGUACAGAUAUAACUAUAUGGGAAAAGUGUAGAUAGGACAAGUUGUAGUUUUUAACCUUGAUAUAGCAGGUUGCCUACAGUUCAUCUGAACUAGCAAAAUUGAGGUAGAACAAGUGCAUCCUUUGCUCAUCUGUGUUAGGAUUUUACAAUGUGUUAGCUAUCACACAUCUUUCUUCUAGCAUAAGCCUACUCUAAACAGUCAUGGAGAGUCAGUGAUGCUCUCCUCCGUAGGGGCCAUCACUCUUGCCCAGAGAGCAGUACAAAUGGAAGAAUAAUGUAGGAAAACUCGCACUGUCACUUGACCUGUUCUGUGGGUAAACAGAGGAUUCCAAAGGUGGGGUUCCAAAAAGAACCAGAUAAGUUCAUGGAGGAUAGGUCCAC